CUCUAGCACUAGCAUGCUGUCCUCAUCUGCAUGGUUGAACCUGAGUCACUGCCACAGUGUGUGACUGUCACAUCAUGUGUUCUGGCCAACAGGAAAGGGAAAGAGAACAUGAAGGAGGCCAACCCCGGAAGACACACUGUGCUAUUCCCGUUGCCUAGAACACCUUUCCUGACCUGAAGGGUCACCCCCAAACCAGCCUUCAAGAGCUUCUUUUGACCAUUGCAUCCUCAACAGGGUAAGGAGGAACAAAGAGAGGAAGGAAAAGCUACAACUCUGGAACAUCUGCUGUCAAAAUUUUGGAGGAAGGUAAAGAAAGCUUAGUAAAGAUUUUCUUUCGUAUAUCUUUUAUUUGUUCUAUCUCUAACUCACAUGAUGAAUUGUUCAACAAAUAUAUAUUG
Molecule: long non-coding RNA, 398 nt
Organism: Homo sapiens (human)
Lineage: Eukaryota; Metazoa; Chordata; Mammalia; Primates; Hominidae
Exons: 3
Source: RefSeq, a predicted model, not a curated record